This 298-nucleotide ribosomal RNA is filed under the name Oncotophasma martini. Its description in RNAcentral is "partial small subunit ribosomal RNA". The record is from RNAcentral. Lineage: Eukaryota; Metazoa; Arthropoda; Insecta; Phasmatodea; Diapheromeridae.
CCAUUAGAGGAACUUGUUCUAUAAUCGAUAAUCCUCGUUUUAUCUUACUUGAUUUUGUAUUCAGUAUGUAUAUCUCCGUUAUAAGUUUAUUUUUUUAGAAUUUAAUUUACUAAAAUAUUUAUUUUUAAUUAUUUCAGGUCAAGGUGCAGCUUAUAAUUAAGUUGAGAUGAGUUACAAUAUUAUUAAUAUAUGAAUUUUAAUUUGAAAUAUUUGGAUGAAGGUGGAUUUAAUAGUAAAUUUAUUUAUUGAAUUAAAUUGAAAUGGGUUCUAAAAUAAGCACACAUCGCCCGUCGCUCUA